AGACUCAGCGUCAGCCGCUGUUGGCUUGCGUGCGGCCGCGAUGCUUUCUUUUACAGGGAGCACGCGGUCGCUGCGUCAUGUCCGGCGCGGUCGGCGUGCACUUCUCCCCUAGUAGGACGUCGCGACCCGUUGGGUGUCGACCGACGGCCCGUGAGGUAGCCUGGGGUGCCGUGCGUUUAUAGCGCGCGCGCAUCUCAAACCCGCGGUGCCUGGCUCGACUGCCCGGCGGUAGAGAUCUAAUUGACAUGGUAUGGGGUCGCACGCUUGUUUGCGAUGCGUUUUGGCCCGUCAACAUACUGGCCUCGCUCGGCGUACGGGACCUAGUGCCGUUGCCGAGCGUUGGUCGGUUGCACUCGGCGGUGUCCUCGAACGGGCCCUGCUUUAAAACAUACCCGUCGGCGACGCUACUGCUUUGGGUACUUUCAGGACCCGUCUUGAAACACGGACCAAGGAGUCUAACAUGUGCGCGAGUCAUUGGGACUUGAAACAAAGCCUAAAGGCGCAAUGAAAGUAAAGGUCCGCUUUAUGCGCGACCGAGGGAGGAUGGCUCCCGCCACGACGCGGAGCCCGCACUCCCGGGGCGUCUCGUGCUCAUUGCGAGCUGAGGCGCACCCAGAGCGUACACGUUGGGACCCGAAAGAUGGUGAACUAUGCCUGGUCAGGACGAAGUCAGGGGAAACCCUGAUGGAGGUCCGUAGCGAU
This 702-nucleotide ribosomal RNA is filed under the name Megaphragma breviclavum. RNAcentral describes it as "partial large subunit ribosomal RNA". It matches the Rfam family "Eukaryotic large subunit ribosomal RNA", at positions 597 to 884 of the family's 3401-position model. The record is from RNAcentral. Lineage: Eukaryota; Metazoa; Arthropoda; Insecta; Hymenoptera; Trichogrammatidae.